This 436-nucleotide ribosomal RNA is filed under the name uncultured bacterium. RNAcentral's name for it is "bacterial SSU rRNA". It matches the Rfam family "Bacterial small subunit ribosomal RNA", at positions 954 to 1392 of the family's 1533-position model. The record is from RNAcentral.
GCAAAACGCGAAGAACCUUACCAGGGCUUAAAUGUAGUUUGACGUUAUUGGAAACAGUAAUUUCUUCGGACAAAUUACAAGGUGCUGCAUGGUUGUCGUCAGCUCGUGCCGUGAGGUGUCAGGUUAAGUCCUAUAACGAGCGCAACCCCUGUUAUUAGUUGCCAGCGAGUCAUGUCGGGAACUCUAACAAGACUGCCAGUGUAAACUGCGAGGAAGGUGGGGAUGACGUCAAAUCAUCACGGCCCUUACGUCCUGGGCCACACACGUGCUACAAUGGACGGUACAGAGAGCAGCCACUUAGCAAUAAGGAGCGAAUCUAUAAAACCGUUCUCAGUUCGGAUCGGAGUCUGCAACUCGGCUCCGUGAAGCUGGAAUCGCUAGUAAUCGGAUAUCAGCCAUGAUCCGGUGAAUACGUUCCCGGGUCUUGUACACACCG